This is a long non-coding RNA of Drosophila gunungcola (fruit fly), 513 nucleotides long. RefSeq lists it as uncharacterized. NCBI's taxonomy places the organism in Eukaryota, Metazoa, Arthropoda, Insecta, Diptera, Drosophilidae. The record is from RefSeq and is a predicted model, not a curated record. The transcript is spliced from 4 exons.
CCACAAAGCAAAACAAAACAAAGCUAUAUUUGCAUCAAAACUUUGACAAUUGGACGAAAUAGGAGGCAAGUCCCAUCUCCGGCAGACCGGAGUCUAUUCCUGGUGGAUUAGGAUCGGCUCAUCUCCCCGCCCAAGAAACACUAAAGGCCGAUCUCAGACCGUCGCCCAAAUGAAAAGCGGUCAAAGCGGCAACAACCGAAGGGAAAUUUUUAGACGCUUAAUACUACAAGUGUCAGGCAAAAAUCGCCGCACGGCACUAAAUUGGAGGCGUUUGCCAACCGGGUCGCCUAAUCCUGAGGAGCUCCAAGGGAAGAGAAGGGACGUGCUGAAAAUGUAGUUGGACGCGCGGCCAGGGUUCGGAAUUAAGCCUCUAAUUUUAGAUUAGAUUUUACAAGUUCCUCGUCGGAUGUGGUUGAAACUGCAGCCAGAAUGGAAAAAUCGCUAGCGGCGAAAACCAGCGCGAGUCCGCACGGAGCCAAUUGGUCCGGAGGAUGGCGCAGCGUCCGCGUAAGA